Molecule: ribosomal RNA, 492 nt
Filed under: uncultured bacterium
Lineage: Bacteria
Description: partial 16S ribosomal RNA
Rfam family: Bacterial small subunit ribosomal RNA
Source: RNAcentral
AGUGAACGCUGGCGGUGGGCCUAACACAUGCAAGUCGAACGGCAGCACAGUAAGAGCUUGCUCUUACGGGUGGCGAGUGGCGGACGGGUGAGGAAUACAUCGGAAUCUACUUUUUCGUGGGGGAUAACGUAGGGAAACUUACGCUAAUACCGCAUACGACCUACGGGUGAAAGCAGGGGAUCUUCGGACCUUGCGCGAUUGAAUGAGCCGAUGUCGGAUUAGCUAGUUGGCGGGGUAAAGGCCCACCAAGGCGACGAUCCGUAGCUGGUCUGAGAGGAUGAUCAGCCACACUGGAACUGAGGCACGGUCCAGACUCCUACGGGAGGCAGCAGUGGGGAAUAUUGGACAAUGGGCGCAAGCCUGAUCCAGCCAUACCGCGUGGGUGAAGAAGGCCUUCGGGUUUUAAAGCCCUUUUGUUGGGAAAGAAAAGCAGCAGGUUAAUACCCCGCUGUUCUGACGGUACCCAAAGAAUAAGCACCGGCUAACUUCGUG